GGCGCAGCAGGCGCGAAACCUCCGCAAUGCGGGAAACCGCGACGGGGGGACCCCGAGUGCCGUGGCACCGCCACGGCUUUUCCGGAGUGUAAAAAGCUCCGGGAAUAAGGGCUGGGCAAGGCCGGUGGCAGCCGCCGCGGUAAUACCGGCGGCCCGAGUGGUGGCCGCUAUUAUUGGGCCUAAAGCGUCCGUAGCCGGGCCCGUAAGUCCCUGGCGAAAUCCCACGGCUCAACCGUGGGGCUUGCUGGGGAUACUGCGGGCCUUGGGACCGGGAGAGGCGGGGGGUACCCCUGGGGUAGGGGUGAAAUCCUAUAAUCCCAGGGGGACCGCCAGUGGCGAAGGCGCCCCGCUGGAACGGGUCCGACGGUGAGGGACGAAGGCCAGGGGAGCAAACCGGAUUAGAUACCCGGGUAGUCCUGGCUGUAAAGGAUGCGGGCUAGGUGUCGGGUGAGCUUCGAGCUCGCCCGGUGCCGUAGGGAAGCCGUUAAGCCCGCCGCCUGGGGAGUACGGCCGCAAGGCUGAAACUUAAAGGAAUUGGCGGGGGAGCACUACAAGGGGUGGAGCGUGCGGUU
RNAcentral lists this ribosomal RNA (572 nucleotides) under uncultured archaeon. Its description in RNAcentral is "bacterial SSU rRNA". It matches the Rfam family "Archaeal small subunit ribosomal RNA", at positions 329 to 902 of the family's 1478-position model. The record is from RNAcentral.